Molecule: long non-coding RNA, 1139 nt
Organism: Heterocephalus glaber (naked mole-rat)
Lineage: Eukaryota; Metazoa; Chordata; Mammalia; Rodentia; Bathyergidae
Source: Ensembl
GUAAGAUUGCACAACCAGCUGGAGGACAGCCCUUUGGGACAUGGGAGAGCACAUGCUCCUGGGCCAGGCCUGGGGCCACUGGUCCCUGAGCAAGUCUGCCAGCCUUCUGAGCAGAGCUGUCCCUGGCUUGGGGGCCUCUCCAGUCUGGCUGUUCCCCCAUGGGGGAGACUUGCCCCUCCAUAGAGAAGCUCUAUAACGUCCUGCCGCGCACUGUGCAGGGUCUGUUGGCAGAUGCGGUGCUCAUCUUCAGCUCCCUCCAAGCAGUGUGUAUUAUACAGUCAAGGUCAUGAUCUCAAAGUGUCAAAUGUCCUGGAAAGAGGUUCAGAAGACGUCUCUGAAAAGAGAGGAUCAGAAGACUUGUUUCUGCUCCUAGCUAGUCACCCAGAGAAUGCUCUUCAGUCUGGACAGGGAAAAAUAACCCUACUGAGUUCAUGCUUGGUGAGAAGAUGCCUGAGAAGAACUGCAGCCUUCAAAAAGAGUUGUACCAGCAGUUGGUCUUUGAAUAUGGACCACUGGACCCAAGAAAGCUGCUGGAUCAUUUAUCAGACAGGUUUUGAAACCAAGAAAGAGGACAUCAUCUGUCUGAGAAGUUAUCAUCUCACUGCCCAUUCUUCCCUACCCCAUCCCUGCCCAACAUGAACACAUUUCAAUCUAAACCUGGAAAUAGUAUGACAAGGUCUAGUGACUUCAAAGUAAAGGCGAACUAAGUUCUCUCUUCCAUUGACAAGCUACAUGUAAAGUUUGUUUCAUGCCUCAGUAAGAUUACUAAAUUCCACUUAGCUUCUUCCAAUGAGGUCUUUCCACACGUGCCAAUUACCUCCCAAUUAAUACAAUCAAGUAACCACCUUAUAAACAACUUUUAAUUUUGAAUGUCAGGUUAACAUUUUUCCUCAUUCUCUUCCACCCAUCGUUUCAUGAAAUUUCAAGGCUUGAGCUUUCUCCACUUCCUCUGUCACUCAGUUUAAGACUAGGCAGGGCUGGGGCAGUGAGGAACAUUUCUGUGAACAGCUGAUGAAGGGCUUGUGUCUGCUUAUUUCUGAAAUGAACUAGUCUCAUGUAAGCAACAAGGUUUAACAUGAUUUUGUGUUUUUUUUGGUACCAGGGAUCAAACUCGGGACCUUGUGCUUGCAAGGCAGGUG